This 29-nucleotide non-coding RNA is filed under the name Mus musculus (house mouse). Lineage: Eukaryota; Metazoa; Chordata; Mammalia; Rodentia; Muridae. The record is from RNAcentral.
UGGGAUUAAAGGCAUGGAACAACACACUC